GUGGGGAAUCUUGCGCAAUGGGCGAAAGCCUGACGCAGCCAUGCCGCGUGAAUGAUGAAGGUCUUAGGAUUGUAAAAUUCUUUCACCGGGGACGAUAAUGACGGUACCCGGAGAAGAAGCUCCGGCUAACUUCGUGCCAGCAGCCGCGGUAAUACGAAGGGGGCUAGCGUUGCUCGGAAUUACUGGGCGUAAAGGGCGCGUAGGCGGACAGCUUAGUCAGAGGUGAAAGCCCAGGGCUCAACCUUGGAAUUGCCUUUGAUACUGGCUGUCUUGAGUUUGGGAGAGGUGAGUGGAACUCCGAGUGUAGAGGUGAGAUUCGUAGAUAUUCGGAAGAACACCAGUGGCGAAGGCGACUCACUGGCCCAAUACUGACGCUGAGGCGCGAAAGCGUGGGGAGCAAACAGGAUUAGAAACCCUGGUAGUCC
This 425-nucleotide ribosomal RNA is filed under the name uncultured bacterium. Its description in RNAcentral is "partial 16S ribosomal RNA". It matches the Rfam family "Bacterial small subunit ribosomal RNA", at positions 354 to 796 of the family's 1533-position model. The record is from RNAcentral.